AGAUUGAACGCUGGCGGCAGGCCUAACACAUGCAAGUCGGACGGUAGCACAGAGAACUUGCUCUCGGGUGACGAGUGGCGGACGGGUGAGUAAUGUCUGGGGAUCUGCCCGAUAGAGGGGGAUAACCACUGGAAACGGUGGCUAAUACCGCAUAACGUCGCAAGACCAAAGAGGGGGACCUUCGGGCCUCUCACUAUCGGAUGAACCCAGAUGGGAUUAGCUAGUAGGCGGGGUAACGGCCCACCUAGGCGACGAUCCCUAGCCGGUCUGAGAGGAUGACCAGCCACACUGGAACUGAGACACGGUCCAGACUCCUACGGGAGGCAGCAGUGGGGAAUAUUGCACAAUGGGCGCAAGCCUGAUGCAGCCAUGCCGCGUGUAUGAAGAAGGCCCUCGGGUUGUAAAGUACUUUCAGCGGGGAGGAAGGCAACAAGGUUAAUAACCUUGUUGAUUGACGUUACCCGCAGAAGAAGCACCGGCUAACUCCGUGCCAGCAGCCGCGGUAAUACGGAGGGUGCAAGCGUUAAUCGGAAUUACUGGGCGUAAAGCGCACGCAGGCGGUCUGUUAAGUCAGAUGUGAAAUCCCCGGGCUUAACCUGGGAACUGCAUUUGAACUGGCAGGCUUGAGUCUCGUAGAGGGGGGUAGAAUUCCAGGUGUAGCGGUGAAAUGCGUAGAGAUCUGGAGGAAUACCGGUGGCGAAAGCGGCCCCCUGGACGAAGACUGACGCUCAGUGCGAAAGCGUGGGGAGCAAACAGGAUUAGAUACCCU
Molecule: ribosomal RNA, 769 nt
Filed under: uncultured Pantoea sp.
Lineage: Bacteria; Pseudomonadati; Pseudomonadota; Gammaproteobacteria; Enterobacterales; Erwiniaceae
Description: bacterial SSU rRNA
Rfam family: Bacterial small subunit ribosomal RNA
Source: RNAcentral